UACGUAGGGUGCAAGCGUUGUCCGGAAUUAUUGGGCGUAAAGAGCUCGUAGGCGGUCUGUCGCGUCGGCUGUGAAAACUCGGGGCUCAACCCCGAGCCUGCAGUCGAUACGGGCAGACUAGAGUGCUGUAGGGGGAGACUGGAAUUCCUGGUGUAGCGGGUGAAAUGCGCAGAUAUCAGGAGGAACACCAGUGGCGAAGGCGAGUCUCUGGACGACUCCUGACACUGAGGCACGAAAGCUAGGGGAGCAAACAGG
RNAcentral lists this ribosomal RNA (255 nucleotides) under uncultured bacterium. Its description in RNAcentral is "partial 16S ribosomal RNA". It matches the Rfam family "Bacterial small subunit ribosomal RNA", at positions 524 to 776 of the family's 1533-position model. The record is from RNAcentral.